This is a long non-coding RNA of Chenopodium quinoa (quinoa), 1060 nucleotides long. RefSeq lists it as uncharacterized. The transcript is spliced from 3 exons. NCBI's taxonomy places the organism in Eukaryota, Viridiplantae, Streptophyta, Magnoliopsida, Caryophyllales, Amaranthaceae. The record is from RefSeq and is a predicted model, not a curated record.
AGAGACCCGUUGUUUAUCAUAACAGGUCUCUUAUGUAUGUAAGGGCCCACCCCUCUUAAACCGACUCUCGCCUUUCCUCCGUCCAUUCUUUCACCUCCUCUUUCUCUCUUCUCUUCUCACCUUUAAUUAAAUUAAACAACUCCAUUUCCCUUUUCUUCGUUAUCCCCUCUUUCUCUCUCUUCCUCUUACCCUUCCCCUUUCUCUGUGCAAUUAAGCACAACGAAAGUCCGCUGCAACCAUAGGUGGAGUAAAAAACCCCCACAAUUUCCAACCUAUAAUCGUCGCUCAUCAGAUCAGGAAUUCAGUUGCACUUUAAAAGGUCGCUUUCUCUCUCUUCUAGAACUCCAUCGUCGUCACCACCUUUUAGGAAUUCAGUCCUAUAGGCGAUUUGAAUUCGUCGCCAACAAAUCGCGCCGGCCACCACAACGAUGCUCUAUUCGGUUGAUUUUUGUUUUCUACGAAACCCUGAUUUCAUAAUCUCUCCAUUUCAUCAGUUAUAAGUUAUAAGUGAUCCUAGUUUCUGCAAUUAAUUCAGAAUUUCAGAGACCUCCGACGAGGCAGCGACUAACGACGACGGACGACCUGACCGGCAGACCCCACCUUCGGUUGUGGAUUGUUCCUUCACUUUCCCAAAAUCUCCAAUCAAAAUUCAAAGUUAUUGACGCUACAAGUUAUUCUAUUAAUGUAUUAAAAGUAUAUGCUUGUAAAAUCUUUAAAUCAAUUAGUUAUUAAUUAUUUUAACAAGUUUCUGUACUUUUAAUGUUAAUGUAGUAUUCUAAUACUUGUAAAUUUCAAUAAUAAGUUUAUGUAAGUUUCUUUAGUGGAUUCCUUCUGUAAUUUAAACUUUUUUUUUCCAAUAGAGCAGAGUAAUGAAAUUCAAAUUUCAAAAUUUAAUACCCGUGAUAAAUUUGUCAUGGGAAUUUUUAUUUUUUUACAAAAAAUAUAUAUGGAAGAGACCCGUUGUGUAACAUAAUGGAUUUCUUUGAUACUGAUAGGUCCUAUUUUGCACAUGUUUUAGGUGGGUAUCUAAGCUCAUUUGAUUACAAAAUUAGAGAUCUUU